AUUUUACCCUUUUAUUGAGAGCAAAAAUCGGUAGUUUCUUCCUUGUUUUGUGCUUGUCGUUUUCCCCAUUUCUCUUGCCUCUGUGGCUAUCAAGCCUUUGUGCCUGAAAUAAUACUCAAUUUUUGUGUCCUUUGUGGGGGCAACAGUUAGCAACCGAAAUGAAGAAGUGGUGUGGCUUGGGUUCGUUGGAUGUGUUUGAUAAGAUCAAGAUUGGUAGAUUGAUUCUAAAAGUACACAUUGGUGGUCAUUCUUCC
Molecule: long non-coding RNA, 254 nt
Filed under: Olea europaea (common olive)
Lineage: Eukaryota; Viridiplantae; Streptophyta; Magnoliopsida; Lamiales; Oleaceae
Description: long non-coding RNA (OEUR_LNC001962)
Source: RNAcentral